AUGAUGUCACCUCUCAUCAUCUGCACUGUUUCCCUGCUCAGUUUAACAUGGACUAAAAGACUCCAACAGACCCCGGGCUUACUGGUGGAGAGGGGUCACUCUGCCCAAAUGAACUGCAGUCACAACCUGCAUGGCAGUUACUAUCACAUGUACUGGUUUCAGCAGUUACCGGGGGAGAGUAUGAAGCUGAUCGUCCACACGGUGCCUUACAAGCCACCUGACUUUGGGAACGUGAGCCAGGACAAGUACUCAGCAGCCAAGACUGUGAGUGAGAGCGGAUCUUUCACAGUGAAAAAUGUGGAACCAGGCGACAGCGGAGUGUAUCUCUGUGCCGUCAGUGCACACAGUGAUGCAGGUACCUCUCAAACUGCACCAAAACUACACAAAGAUGACUGGCACACCGCCUGA
Molecule: non-coding RNA, 408 nt
Organism: Micropterus salmoides (largemouth bass)
Lineage: Eukaryota; Metazoa; Chordata; Actinopteri; Centrarchiformes; Centrarchidae
Source: the annotation of a RefSeq genome assembly